This 396-nucleotide unclassified non-coding RNA is filed under the name Hevea brasiliensis (rubber tree). The record is from RNAcentral. Lineage: Eukaryota; Viridiplantae; Streptophyta; Magnoliopsida; Malpighiales; Euphorbiaceae.
UGAUCAUAAAACAUAUUUCUAAAUUGCUUACAAGCCUAAUUUGCCAUAAGGAAAUAAAACCACUAAAUUCCUACAAGUUAGGGUUUAGGGAAAUUCUUACCCCUUAAAGCGCAAAAUAAAAUUCUUACACCAAUUACAGAGAGUGAAGACUAUCAAGUGCUAGCCCUCUAGCUUGUCCACACAAGCCCCUUGAUCAAAGCACCUUGAUCCUAAGAAAAACCCUUGAUUCUUCUUCCUUGUAAUUCGGCCAAGUUGGAAAGAAAGGAGAAGAAAAGCUUUCAUAGUUCUAAGUAAUUGGAAGUAGUGAGAAACACUUUCUCAAGGUUUGAUUCAAGAUCAACAGUACUUGUUUCUCUUGAAUUUCAAGCUAGGAAGAUGAGAGAAUUUCUUUGUCUA